RNAcentral lists this ribosomal RNA (255 nucleotides) under uncultured bacterium. Its description in RNAcentral is "partial 16S ribosomal RNA". It matches the Rfam family "Bacterial small subunit ribosomal RNA", at positions 74 to 334 of the family's 1533-position model. The record is from RNAcentral.
CAAACCAAAGCUGGCGACCGGCGCACGGGUGAGUAACACGUAUCCAACCUGCCUCAUACUCGGGGAUAGCCUUUUGAAAGAAAGAUUAAUAUCCGAUAGCAUAUAUUUCCCGCAUGGGUUUUAUAUUAAAGAAAUUCGGUAUGAGAUGGGGAUGCGUUCCAUUAGUUUGUUGGGGGGGUAACGGCCCACCAAGACUACGAUGGAUAGGGGUUCUGAGAGGAAGGUCCCCCACAUUGGAACUGAGACACGGUCCAA